UUCCAUUCUAAAAAAUAUAUCAACAGAACCAGUUCCAAUUUACCUACAAUUAGUAAGAACAGAGAACACAUUUCUAGCAAAAUAAGGUCCAUGAAUUCCGGAAUCGAAUAAAAAGUACUUAGAAUAAGAAAAAAAAUACAAAAAAACUGAAACAGAGCCUAAAAGCUAGAACAGUACUCAUCAGAGCCUACAAGAGGGGUAUUGAUGACUAACAGAAAUAAAUUACUUAGAUCUCUGUCUCAUCUUUCGACGCUUCCUCUUCAACCUCCUCAUUCUUUUCUUCUUCCACUACAAAAACAUAUCCAAUUUCAAAUAAUCAAUUUCGUUAUCCAUUUAUGGAAAAUGGUAAAUUCAAUAAAUGAGCUAAAAUUAAUACAAAAAUAAUAAAUUUAUGUAACAGAGAUAGAGGAGUUACCUUGGCCCUCAUGGUGAUGAGUUUGGAAUUCUUCUGCCUCUCUUUUCUUCCAAAACCGUUGCAAAACUGUGGAGGAAAUGAGACGGAAGAAAAUGAGGCGAGGGAUUUGCCGUUUAUCUCUAAAUUCAGCAUACCAAAAAUUUCUCUUUUUGUGUUACCUAUAGUUGCACAAAUAUCAAUACUCUAACUUAGAAUUAAAUGCUCAAACAUCACAAUUUUAUAAAAUUAUGAAUAGUACAAUCAACAUGUUGAUUCAACUAAAAAUCUU
This 683-nucleotide long non-coding RNA is filed under the name Panax ginseng (ginseng). RNAcentral describes it as "long non-coding RNA (PGIN_LNC007911)". The record is from RNAcentral. Lineage: Eukaryota; Viridiplantae; Streptophyta; Magnoliopsida; Apiales; Araliaceae.